This 253-nucleotide ribosomal RNA is filed under the name uncultured bacterium. Its description in RNAcentral is "partial 16S ribosomal RNA". It matches the Rfam family "Bacterial small subunit ribosomal RNA", at positions 524 to 776 of the family's 1533-position model. The record is from RNAcentral.
UACAGAGGGUGCAAGCGUUAAUCGGAAUUACUGGGCGUAAAGCGUGCGUAGACGGUAGCGUAAGUCGGGUGUGAAAGCCCCGGGCUCAACCUGGGAAUUGCAUUCGAGACUGCUCUGCUAGGGUGCGGAAGAGGGAAGCGGAAUUUCCGGUGUAGCGGUGAAAUGCGUAGAUAUUCGCAAGAACACCAGUGGCGAAGGCGGCUCACUGGCCCGGUACUGACGCUGAGGUGCGAAAGCGUGGGGAGCAAACAGG